AAGAGAGACUAUUCAAACUUGCAAGUUGAUAUUGCAUAUUCUGAAUUAUGAGUGCAAACACUUAACCCCGAGAGAAUUGGUGAGAAUGUGAUUUAAGCUGACAGGUGAAACGGUGCUUUGAAGUGGAAGUGCGAUUGAAAACUUACAAGGAAAAAGCAGGACUUAUGGAAGGAAAAGGGAAGACAUUAGUGAAUGAUCUCAACAUUGUUGGGAAACAUAAAGAA
This 224-nucleotide long non-coding RNA is filed under the name Lathyrus oleraceus (garden pea). RNAcentral's name for it is "Pisum sativum (pea) long non-coding RNA (PSAT_LNC005631)". Lineage: Eukaryota; Viridiplantae; Streptophyta; Magnoliopsida; Fabales; Fabaceae. The record is from RNAcentral.